Molecule: ribosomal RNA, 459 nt
Filed under: uncultured bacterium
Lineage: Bacteria
Description: partial 16S ribosomal RNA
Rfam family: Bacterial small subunit ribosomal RNA
Source: RNAcentral
CCUACGGGUGGCAGCAGUGAGGAAUAUUGGUCAAUGGACGAGAGUCUGAACCAGCCAAGUAGCGUGAAGGAUGACUGCCCUAUGGGUUGUAAACUUCUUUUAUAAAGGAAUAAAACGAGGCACGUGUGCCUUUUUGCAUGUACUUUAUGAAUAAGGAUCGGCUAACUCCGUGCCAGCAGCCGCGGUAAUAAGGAGGAUCCGAGCGUUAUCCGGAUUUAUUGGGUUUAAAGGGGGCGCAGGCGGCCUGUUAAGUCAGCGGUAAAAGCCCGGGGCUCAACCCCGGCGAGCCGUUGAAACUGGCGGGCUGGAGUUGGAGAGAAGUACGCGGAAUGCGCGGUGUAGCGGUGAAAUGCUGAGAUAUCGCGCAGAACCCCGAUUGCGAAGGCAGCGUGCCGUGCCGCCACUGACGCUGAGGCACGAAAGCGCGGGGAUCGAACAGGAUUAGAUACCCGGGUAGUC